UACAUGGGGUGCAAACGUUGCUCGGAAUUAUUGGGCGUAAAGCGCACGUAGGCGGUUCGUUAAGUCGGAUGUGAAAGCCCUCGGCUCAACUGAGGAAGUGCACCCGAAAUUGGCGAGCUUGAGUACGAAAGAGGAUCGCGGAAUUCCGGUGUAGAGGUGAAAUUCGUAGAUAUCGGGAGGAACGCCGGUGGCGAAGGCGGCGAUCUGGGUCGAUACUGACGCGUGAGGUGCGAAAGCGUGGGAGCAACAGG
This 251-nucleotide ribosomal RNA is filed under the name uncultured bacterium. RNAcentral's name for it is "partial 16S ribosomal RNA". It matches the Rfam family "Bacterial small subunit ribosomal RNA", at positions 524 to 776 of the family's 1533-position model. The record is from RNAcentral.